UGGGAUUGUGGCUCAGUGGUAGAGUGCUUGCCUAGUACGCAUGAGGCCCUGAGUUCGAACCUCAGCACCUCAU
Non-coding RNA from Marmota monax (woodchuck), 73 nucleotides. Lineage: Eukaryota; Metazoa; Chordata; Mammalia; Rodentia; Sciuridae. The record is from the annotation of a RefSeq genome assembly.